AGCGAACGCUGGCGGCAGGCUUAACACAUGCAAGUCGAGCGGGCACUUCGGUGUCAGCGGCAGACGGGUGAGUAACACGUGGGAACGUACCCUUUGGUUCGGAAUAACGCUGGGAAACUAGCGCUAAUACCGGAUACGCCCUUUUGGGGAAAGGCUUGCUGCCGAAGGAUCGGCCCGCGUCUGAUUAGCUAGUUGGUGGGGUAAUGGCCUACCAAGGCGACGAUCAGUAGCUGGUCUGAGAGGAUGAUCAGCCACACUGGGACUGAGACACGGCCCAGACUCCUACGGGAGGCAGCAGUGGGGAAUAGUGGACAAUGGGCGCAAGCCUGAUCCAGCCAUGCCGCGUGAGUGAUGAAGGCCUUAGGGUUGUAAAGCUCUUUUGUCCGGGACGAUAAUGACGGUACCGGAAGAAUAAGCCCCGGCUAACUUCG
This 431-nucleotide ribosomal RNA is filed under the name uncultured bacterium. RNAcentral describes it as "partial 16S ribosomal RNA". It matches the Rfam family "Bacterial small subunit ribosomal RNA", at positions 29 to 505 of the family's 1533-position model. The record is from RNAcentral.